RNAcentral lists this ribosomal RNA (302 nucleotides) under uncultured Haloarcula sp. RNAcentral's name for it is "partial 16S ribosomal RNA". Lineage: Archaea; Methanobacteriati; Methanobacteriota; Halobacteria; Halobacteriales; Haloarculaceae. The record is from RNAcentral.
CAAAAUUUUAACGUUCAAUUUCCAUUGCCAUUCAGGGUGGGCAGAGUUUGAUCCUGGCUCAGUCGUAACAAGGUAACCGUAAGUCGUAACAAGGUAGCCGUAGAGUUUGAUCCUGGCUCAGCACAGAAAGUCGUAACAAGGUAACCGUAAGUCGUAACAAGGUAACCGUAGGUCGUAACAGGGUACUGUAGAGUUUGAUCAUGGCUCAGACAAGUCGUAACAAGGUAACCGUAUGGUUGUAACAAGAUAACGGUAGAGUUUGAUCAUGGCUCAGGAUCAAAUAAGUCGUAACAAGGUAGCCG